RNAcentral lists this long non-coding RNA (440 nucleotides) under Olea europaea subsp. europaea. Lineage: Eukaryota; Viridiplantae; Streptophyta; Magnoliopsida; Lamiales; Oleaceae. The record is from RNAcentral.
CAAAACACCAAACCGUAAAGAUGGUUUUCGGUGCUGGUUAUCCAGUUACAGAAGCGACACCAAAAUAGAAAAUGGAAGGCUUGUUAUUUAACAGUAUAACAUGACUUAUAUGGUCGUGUCAACCAAUCCAAUCCAAUAACUAUCUAGAUGUAUUCAAAUUUUAUGUAAAUGAAUGAAGUGGAUUGCAAAAAGUUCUAUACAUAAAAUUUCGAUAUGACAGUGGGUUGCCUGGGAUUUUAACUCGAAACUAGUCGAAUGGAGUAGAUAAUUUCCUUGUUAUGUUAAUUAAAUAAGGAAAAACCCUCCCCAAGCCGUGCUUGCAUUUUUCAUUGCACACGGCUUUCCCUAUAUAUACAUCACUUCCUUUCUUAUAAAGACUUUAAAAAGUUGAAUACUCAGUUGACUUUAAAAAGUUGAAUACUCAGUUGAUUUAACCCUUA